This 4942-nucleotide long non-coding RNA is filed under the name Sus scrofa (pig). RNAcentral describes it as "lncRNA (ENSSSCG00040009193.1)". The record is from RNAcentral. Lineage: Eukaryota; Metazoa; Chordata; Mammalia; Artiodactyla; Suidae.
GUACCCCACCCUACCCCAAGGCAGCAAAUGACAGUUUUCUUGACAUACUAGGAUUCAAGCCAUGUUGAUGGCUGUCUCAUUCAUUAUUGAGAUUACUGACAUAUUUUAUGUUCAGUUUACUUACUUCAAGUAGACACUUAGCAAGUGCCUACUAGGUGAAAAUUAGCUAGUUAAAUUUUUGGUUAGAGAAAUGCACAUCUCAGUAAAGACACCAAGAAUGUUCAAAGCAUGAAACAUUAGCUGUUUAAAUGAUGUUUAUUUUUCUCAGCUGAUUCUCUUGCUAAACGCAUAAAAUUCUCACAACUGUUACUCUCUACGUAAAUUACUAAUGUGACAAUUACAAAAAUUCCCAAGAUUGUUCAUCAUGAUUCCAAGAUCAUGUGUAAUAGUGAAAACUUUAAAAUAUGCUAAGUGUCUAUUAACAGAGAAAUUGAUAAAUGAAUAAAAAUGUACACACUUAUGGUAGAAUAUUAUAAUGCAUAUAAAAAGGAAUUCGCUAUAGCUACUUUCUUAAAUCUAUCACCUCUUUCUUUUUUUCUCUGCCUGCCUACUUUCACACUUGGAUAGAGUCUCAAACAUAGAUUAAAAAAAUGUACAAUCAGUACAGUGUGAAAGUACCUGUAUCUCAAUAAAACUAGAAGACAAAAAGAAAAAAUUAAACUAUAUAAAUUCCUAAUUAAUCAUAUUAAAACAAAAGCAAACAAAAAAAUUUAAACAUAUAUAAAAGAAUAAUUUUCCUAGUUACAACUAUAAAUAAUGGAAGAUAUGCACACUAAAUUCCUUACAGUGUCUAUUUUUGGGGAGAGAGUGAGAGGGAAAGUAAUAAUAGUUGAAGAGCACUUAUUAUGCACCACGCAUUGUUCUAUAUACUUAAGUACUGACGUUAUAAAACGUCAUAACAGAGCUUGGAAGUACACAUGUUUCUUACAACGUGUGUGUAUUUUACAAGACUGAGGUGGAGAGAUUUUACGUUUGCUCCUCAAAGGGGACAGUUUUAUGUGUACGGUUUCAUUCCUUUAUAUCUGAAAUUUACUGAUAUAGGAAAUAUUAAUAAAGAAAAGAUUUAUGUUAAAGAAAAUAAAAUAGGAUGAUAAUUUCAUUCCAUUUCUCAUCAGAGUAACUUGAAACCAAAUGGAAAGGCAGCUUGCCAAAUUUUACAUUAUUACAAAGGUUUGUUUCAAAAUAUCUUCCAUAUUUAAAAAAAAUGAAAACAAAAAAUCAACAACAACUAAAAAUAAUGGUUGAUUUUUUCCCACAAAAGAGUCCAUCAUAACUUCUGUCGUAAGCAACAUCCCCUGAGAUACGUAAGCAACAUCCCCUGAGAUACGGUCCCUCAAAUUUCAGGAUCAUCUUUUUCCCCCACCUAUCCAGAGUACUCACUUAAGUGUCACCUAUAAUUAAAUACUUACAAGUAAGAAGCACCUUUAGAGACCCUGAUCAUAAAUAUUACGAGGGAUGCUUAAAGGGGAAAUAUGUGUGGGUAGGUUUUCAUUUGCUAAAAUAAAUAAUGGGGCAGCGUCAUUGCAUGUGUUCCAUAUUUUUGAUGGCCAGGAAGAGUCAUGGAGCCUACAAGAGAUUUAUGGGGAACAGAUGAGCAGUGUCUGACUUGAGGACACAUCCUCAAGGAUGCUGUAGGAAGUGGGUGAGCACGAUUACUUUCUGAGCCACCCCAGAUGGACUGUGUUGGGGAUUUUCAUGGUUUUUUUUUUUUUUCCCUUUUACUUCUGUUUAAUAAAACAGGGAAUGGACUUAUGUAAAUGCUAUUUGGGAAAGUUCCAGAGGUUUAAAAAUGGUGUUUUUGUUUUUACUUUUAUUUAAUCCUCAUAGGCUCACCUUUUAAAAAUACUGUUUACAGAUUUAGAUAACGGUGACUCUCUCUCUGUCUCCACAACUGACUUGACUCAACCUAGAAGAAACACUCAGGUUUCAGUUCAAGCCCUUGGUCUGCACAUAUUUACACUAGACUAUGAAGGUUUAUUCAUAUGACUCUUUGCUAUUAAGCAUUAAAUACCCUAAGAAGCAACAAAACGUGGUGUCUGAGUACCUGGCCUCUGAUACGCAGACCCAGGUAUCAGGAUCCUUUUUAAAAGCUUGUAUGAUCUUCUAGCUAUUUGGAAUUUCCAAAACUUAAUUUCCAUCUUUAUUCAGUGGGCCAGUCACAAUUAUGCCCAGCUCUCAGCCGUCAUGUAAAUGCCCUGUGUGUAGACGAGGCUGGCUAUAUGUUAGCUGACGGCAGACCUUCGGUUUCGUGUAACCCAGGUCCGUAAAUGGUAGCACCAAGACAGUGACCACUAAGGUGAGCCUCGUCUUCCUCACUGCUACCACCAUCGUUUCAUUACAAUCACCUCUGGAGGCACAGAUGCUAGACAGGAAGGGCUUGGGAGUUCUGAUUACGGGGAAGAAUCAGGAGGGAACAGAGAGAAUGGAUCAAGGGAAAAAAAGAGGAAACACGGAGGAGAGGAUGAGAAAAUACGACAAAGAGAAGGCAGAAGAGGAGAUUCCAAAGAACAAAACUAGGUGUUCUACCUUUCUCUUCCAACAGUUUCCAAAAUUUUAGAGAGUAUAAGAAAUAACCAGGUCCAGGAGAUGCCUUUUGUUUAUUUCAUUCUUGCCUCUUGACCCCGGUACCCAGGGUGCCAGCCAGUUCCCAAGCAGAUGGAGCCCUGCUCCAUGUCUGCUGUCUUACCUGUCUUUCUCCUUCUUAACUGAAGAUUCUCUGGACUCUGAUGUUUCCUGCUGUUAUCAGGGAGACCAAUGCAUAAACGGGUUUGUUUCCUGAUUGGAAUACAUUAGGGAAAGUGGUCCCCACCAUUUCUAAAAACACAGGCAAUUGCCACGAGAGAGUGAGACUGAAAAGAGAGCUCACUUAUAGCUUUUCUGCUGACUAAAAGGCAGAAGUGAAAAUGAAUCCAGGAAAUAAUUUUUAAGCAUUUGAAUGCUUUAGCAUUUGGAAGAGAGAGGAGAGAGAGAGAGAGAGUACACAAAGAAGAAGAAAGAGGAGAAAACUUAGAUGUGUCCCCCUAUAUCCUAUAAUUCAAAGCCUUAGUGGGUGCCUAAAAUUCAGAUUCAUGGGCUUCAGCCCCUUCCUACAGAAGCAGAACGAUUAGGCACUGGAUUGGGAAUCUGUAAAUUUGUGUUUCAACAAGUUUUCCAAGUGAUGAGACUACCAAAUAAAGGUUGAGAACCACUGCUCUAUUCCAGAUGUGAAACCAGAACAUUAUUCCCAGUUUGUUCAUAUCUGCAAAAUUUCCCGGGCCAGGAAGGACUUUCCAGAACUUUUUUCCUGCUAUCCUUGGAGGGGAAGUUUCUUCUGGUCUUCAAAGUUUUUUGACGUUUUCAUGAAAGCCUCUGUUUUCCUGGCAUUUCUUUGACCUGAGUGUGACUUGGCAGCGGCAGCUCACAGCUGGUUCAGGAAUCCCUUGCCCUGCCCAGGCCCUGGGUGUCGAUAGUGUUCUCACAUUUAGUCAUUCUGCCCCAUCCUCACGGUUUGUGCAAUACCCUUCCCUCAACAACUGCCUUCUUUCUGCAUCUCCUGACAAUAAUUCCCUCUUAGGUACUUAAACGAAAAGUUACAUCACUAUAAUCAGCGGAAACAUUUGCCAUAAGUAACUGGAUGAUGAAAAAUCCCAGUAUUAUCCACUGCUGCUUGCAAAAGUUUCAGAAUUUGUUGUCUAUUCUUCCUGAUAAAAAGCACGAGAGAGGUGUUUAAGACAGGCAAACACCAGAUGAAACUUUCUUAUUGAUUAAAUCAGAGGAUCUGAACCUGUAUAGAAAAAGAUACUGUUUUCACUUUGUGCCUGCCUGCUACUUAAAACUAUCUACCCUCAGCCCAUAAUGGGGCAACUCUGACUUUAAAAACUUCCAGAGAUGGGUUUGCUUUCCUCGGUUAAAACUCUGUGUGGAGCACUGGUAGGCUUGGGCAGAGGAGAGAGUCAUUAGGAGUUUCCAUUGGAGGAAACAAUGAUUCUAGUCACCAGAGAUGGACAUGGGUUUUCUCAUUUUAACUCCUAAUAAUCAUAUCGCCAUCAUUUAUUCUUUUCAGCAAUAUUUAUUUAUUUAUUUAGGCUGCACCUAGGGCAUGUCAAAGUUCCCAGGCCAGGGACCAAACGCCAGAUUCUUUACCCACGGGGACACCAGGGAACUCCCCCAAGAAUAUUUAUUGAGCAUCAACUUUGGGCAAGGCUUUGUGGACACAAAGCAAAUAAGACAGGAAAUCCCUUUGAGGUCAUAUGCUCAGAGUCAGUAAUUUAACACUUAUUGAGCAUUCGCUGUGUACAAGGCACGGUUCUAAAUGCUUUGCAAGUGCUCAUACUCUGCUUCUCCCAAGCACCCAAGAGUUUUCAUUAUCUCUACUGAUAAGGAAACCUAGGCAUGGGAGGAGUAUUAAUUUGUUAAUAAUAAUGACUAAAUUUUCUUCACAGCUUCCCAGGUACCACCAUGGACCAAGCAUGUUACCUGAUUUCUCAAUGAAUCCUUUGCAAAAUCCCGGCCAGAUGAGUCCUUUUGGUAGAUUCAUUUCGGAAAUGAGGAAACUGAAAGGUUGGCAGGUAAGGAGCCUUAGGUCACACGGCAAGGAAAUGACCCACUGGGGAGAAAUGGAAGCCCAGUCCAUUGUCUCCAGGGUCCACCCGCUGCCCUUACUCUGUAUUGUCUGGUGGGGGCGGGGAGAUGUGUGAAGAGGCAAGUCCAAGACUGCAUGAAAUGUGCUUGAAAAAGAGGAGUCUCCCUCUGUGCGGUCAAUUCCAGAAUCAAGGCAGCUCUACUUUCCCUUGUUCCUACUUUGGCUCAGAGAAUAGCAGAUGGACAAGUUUUAGUAAGAACCUUAUGUAUAACUAGAGGAAAAAAGCAAAAAAAAAAAAAAAAAUUCAAGAAUAUAAUCGGAUAAAUAGGUUUCUCAUAUGCAGAUACACAGCUUUCAGUAUCCUCUUCUUCUCCACUCACA